ACUCAAAGGAAUUGACGGGGACCCGCACAACCGGUGGAGCGUGUGGUUCAAUUUGAGACAAAGCAAAAAACCUCACCAGGGCUUGACAUGCUAUCGUUUAUGCUCUAAGAAACUAGAGCAAAUCCGCAAGGAUGAUAGUGCAGGUGGUGCAUGGCUGUCGUCAGCUCGUGCCGUGAGGUGUUCCAUUAAGUUGGGAAACGAGCGCAACCCGCAUCCAAUGUUACAUAUUCAUUGGAAACUGUCCCAGUUUUACUGGGAAGGAAGGAGCGGAAGACGUCAAGUCAGCAUGCUCCUUAUGCCCUGGGCUACACACACCCUACAAUGGCGAAGAACAAUGGGUUGCAAGCUAGUAAUGGCAAGCUAAUCCCUGAAAUUUCGCCUCAGUUCAGAUUGAGGGCUGCAACUCGCCCUCAUGAAGUCGGAAUCGGUAGUAAUCGCGAAUCAGCAGGUCGCGGUGAAUACGUUCUCGGGUCUUGUACACACCGCCCGU
Molecule: ribosomal RNA, 490 nt
Filed under: uncultured bacterium
Lineage: Bacteria
Description: partial 16S ribosomal RNA
Rfam family: Bacterial small subunit ribosomal RNA
Source: RNAcentral